This 253-nucleotide ribosomal RNA is filed under the name uncultured bacterium. RNAcentral describes it as "partial 16S ribosomal RNA". It matches the Rfam family "Bacterial small subunit ribosomal RNA", at positions 524 to 776 of the family's 1533-position model. The record is from RNAcentral.
UACAGAGGUCUCGAGCGUUAGGCGGAAUCACUGGGCUUAAAGCGUGUGUAGGCGGAUCGUUAAGUGCCUUGUGAAAUCCCACGGCUCAACCGUGGAACUGCUUGGCAUACUGGCGGUCUUGAGCAAACUAGGGGCGAGCGGAACAAAUGGUGGAGCGGUGAAAUGCGUAGAUAUCAUUUGGAACGCCAAUGGUGAAAACAGCUCGCUGGGGGUUUGCUGACGCUGAGACACGAAAGCCAGGGGAGCAAACGGG